GUGAACGCUGGCGGUAGGCCUAACACAUGCAAGUCGAACGGCAGCACAGUAAGAGCUUGCUCUUACGGGUGGCGAGUGGCGGACGGGUGAGGAAUACAUCGGAAUCUACUUUUUCGUGGGGGAUAACGUAGGGAAACUUACGCUAAUACCGCAUACGACCUACGGGUGAAAGCAGGGGAUCUUCGGACCUUGCGCGAUUGAAUGAGCCGAUGUCGGAUUAGCUAGUUUGCGGGGUAGAGGCCCACCAAGGCGACGAUCCGUAGCUGGUCUGAGAGGAUGAUCAGCCACACUGGAACUGAGACACGGUCCAGACUCCUACGGGAGGCAGCAGUGGGGAAUAUUGGACAAUGGGCGCAAGCCUGAUCCAGCCAUACCGCGUGGGUGAAGAAGGCCUUCGGGUUGUAAAGCCCUUUUGUUGGGAAAGAAAAGCAGCAGGUUAAUACCCCGCUGUUCUGACGGUACCCAAAGAAUAAGCACCGGCUAACUUCGUG
Molecule: ribosomal RNA, 491 nt
Filed under: uncultured bacterium
Lineage: Bacteria
Description: partial 16S ribosomal RNA
Rfam family: Bacterial small subunit ribosomal RNA
Source: RNAcentral